Molecule: long non-coding RNA, 4117 nt
Filed under: Nicotiana tabacum (common tobacco)
Lineage: Eukaryota; Viridiplantae; Streptophyta; Magnoliopsida; Solanales; Solanaceae
Description: long non-coding RNA (NTAB_LNC014534)
Source: RNAcentral
GGCAAUAGACUAUUUGCUGGUAAUUUAUCCCUUGAACUCAAAUGUUAGCGACGAUUUGAUAUUAACCGGGAAUUAGGACCUUUCACUGGCAAAUGAAGAAAAUGGCCUCUAUAAAAGUUAGUACUAAUUAUUGAAAGCAAUUUUUUCUAACUUUAUCUUCCCUCCAAUUUUUUUUAUUGUUCCCUCCCUCUCCUCAUUCCUUCCUUGUAAACCUAGAACAGACACCCAAAUUGAACUAUUUCCCAAUUUGAGAUAUUCAGCCAUCGGUGGCGGCAUCACCACAAUCGACAACCAUCACGAGGUAAUUCGACUUAUCUCUCUAUAUCACUAUCUCUCUCUGUCUGUCGAUCUUUCUCUAUCUCUCAUCCCUAUGUUUCGAUUUUUCUUGGUUGUUGAUGCUUGAUUUCUGUCUCAAUCUUGCCUCUCGUCAGUUUUCUCCAUCACCAACAUCAUUAUUGAGCCCUAGGUUUAGUUUUCUUUCUGUUCAUUUUUUUCCUAUUUUAUUUUUUCGCUAUUUUUUUUUAUUUUAGUAAAUAUUUUGUGCUUAUUGUUGUCUGGUUUAGAUUAUGUUCAAUUUAUUUGGUAAUUCCCAUAAUACAAGUACCAAUCUAGUGUGUAUAUAGUUGAAUGCUAUGUGAUUGAGAUGGAUUAUUUAGCAUUGUCACAGUGCCUUGAUUAUUUUAGUGGACUGAAGUUUGGAAUACUAUGCUAUUUAUUCAAAAGAAAGAUACUAUGUAUUAUAUUUCUAAUGAAAAUUUUGCCUUUUUGUUCCCUUCUACAGUGUACGUAAUGGCGUUCUUUUGUAGAUAAUAAUAUUGAGCAACCCAAAAACCUUCAAACUAGAAGACAAGAAACAUGUAUAAUAAGUGGGAGACUACUGGUUAUUGCCCAUUUGACAGGUAUAGCUUUAUGUUUUUGCUUAUUUUUGGUUUAUAUAGAUAUGAUUUCAAUGUUUACAAUGAGAAUGCGGAAGACUGAUGAUUUAUGGUUGAUUUUUGGCUUGCUAGAAUAUUCUUUUAUACCCAUUUUGAUCGAUCACUUGCAAGUAUUUGUUGAGAUAUUGUGGCAACAUGUGGUGAUUUCUUCAAAUUCCUGAUCUAAUUUUAAUUCUCUAUGAACUCUGUAUCUAGAACUCUUGCGAUUGCUGGUCGUUCCAUGCCCCGAACUAAAAGUUGUUUGCCUUAGAUUUACAGCUGAAAAUCUUUGCAGGUAUGAAGGAGUUAUUUUUCGCAACUUGUCACAUUUAAUUUUGGACAAUGAUUUUUGCGAAGUUCCUGAACUAAUUAAAGUUAAACUUGUGCAAUUUACCUUGUCUUUAUUUUUUGUUUGGAGUUAUUUGACAUCUUUUAUUUAUGAGCAAAAAGCUUUAGGCAUGGUGUACUUGUAUUAUGUUAAAUGUAUCUCUUGGAUUUAUCUUUGUCUGAUAAUUAACGAUUUCCCAUGUUUGAAAGAUACCAAUAAUUUUAAAGCAUUUGACAGUGCACACUUUUAAAUUCUUGUGCCGAUUGAGGUUUCUAAAGCUGCUUUCUGUCCUUUCCUCCCUGGACUAACUUCUGAUUACCCAAAAUAUGUACUCCCUCCGUUCGAAUUUAUGUGAACCUGUUUGGUUGGAUACGGAGUUUAAGAAAAAAUAAAGACUUUUGGAAUUUGUGGUCCUAAAUAAGUUAAAAAGGGGCCCAGAUAAUUUGUGUGGUUAUAAAAGCUUCUCAUUAAGGGUAGAAUUAUAAGUUUAAGCUAAAUUAUUUCCAAAUUUAGAAAGAGUUCAUUCUUUUUGGAACGGACCAAAAAGAAAAUAGAUUCGAAUAAAUUGAAACGAGGGAGUAAUUGCUUUCAGGGGUUUGAACGACUAAUUCAAUAAUUCGCCGAGGUAGUGUACCUAUGUUUCAAACACAAGAGUAUCUUAUUCUGUAACGGCCUCAUUGCCCAUGGUUGCCCUUUAUUUUCUCUCCUGGAUAUAUGCAGAAUGCUAACAAAAUAAUCUUACAAAAAAAGCUGAAAUUUAUUUUUUGCCAAUCUUUAGUAACUUGUGAUUGAAGAUGCAGUUUAGUGGUGCAACUGUAUUAAAAUCUCAUUAUUCUUUUCUCUUUUAUCUUCAUUCCUCCACUGCGGAGAAGCAAAACCAGGAAAUCAAUAAGGUAAAUGAUUCAAACGUGUACGUAUAUGGUCAUGCCACAAUUCUUACAAAGAAGGAAAGAAAGAAUUUCCCAUAAUAGUUGUCCACCUUUUGUUAUCUGUACGUAAUUACAGAACUUAAAUACUUUUAUCAAACAAAUUUUUGAAAAGUUGUGUACUUAUUUAGAUGGUUUGGAAAGAUAGUGAAAGUACAUCUAUAAGGACUCUUUAGGAUACAUAAGCACUCAUUAUAAUGUGAGUACUGACUAGACGAUUAAGUUAAAUUUCAUAAUUUUAACUCAAAAAUUCAAAUCACGGAUAUAUAAUAUUGGACAUAUAAAAGGCGUGUUUUCUAUGAGAACCACAUAAAUCUGAUUGACUAGAUACUCAGAGAGAAGUUCUUUAUUUUGUAAUGCAAUCUUUUAUUUGUUGUUUCUCUGAUUCUUUGCUUUCAAAAAACUAGAUAAAUAAUAUAAGAAAGAGAACAAAAUAUCAUGUUUGGUUUUUGUGAAAGAAUAUGAUUCACAUGACACAGAUUUUACUUAAUGCCUGCAGUAAUUUCAUCCCUAAUACCUGUUAACUAGUGCGUGUUCUACAUUGCAGUGAUGUUGUCUCUGUUUUUUAUGUGUUGUGUGAUUUCUGAUCAACCUCUUUGGUCUUCCAGGUCAAGGGUUGGUUCAGAUUAUUGAAGAAACUAACAUGGGUGGGAAAUCGACCUAUAUAUGCCAGGUAUGAGUCUUAUGAAGAUUCAUCUUUUUUUCUCCUUGGUAUAUUUUUAUUUCACUAGGUCAGUUUUAUAUAUCCCUAACAUAUGUCAUAUUAUAUGCAAUUGAUUGAGUAUCUAUAUUUUGUCACUACGCUUUCUGAUAUAUAUUUUUUACAUUCAAUUUUCAAUUAUUUUUUGAUCUGUAUGAACUAUUUUAAAAAAAUAAUAAGCAGUAUGCUUGUCGGAGUCAAUUGAAUAGAGCCGACAUACAAGUUAUAAGAGCAUUAGCACGAAAAAAUUCAUAGAAUAAAACAACUGAUUCAGAAAAAAAAAUCAUACGGUAAAAUAUUGUCUUCGACUGCCGCUGAUGCCUUGCUCCUUUAUUUGAGUUUGAAUGUUGAUUUGAUAAACAUGUCCUAUCCAAGGGAGCAUGUUCUGUCCAAGGGAUAUGAAUAAGAUAUUUCAUGUUCUUAUUCCUUUACUGGUGGAGUGGGUGGAUAAAUUUGGCGCUAUACCAAUUCAACUUAGUUACACCGUUAACUCAAGUUCUACCGUUAAGAGAAAAUUAUUCACUACUAGCCACAAUUUUGAUUUUAAAACCUGAGUAUAAAAAUCUGAAGCAACCUGUUUGAAAAAGUUGUGGAAGUUACAGGUGAAAAUUAAAGUUAAAUAUUUUUUUAUGGAAUUAUCUAGUGGUAGUUCUUCUAGUUCAAGGUUUUUCAGGAUAUAAGCUAGAUGAUACUAAUAUAAUUUGUAAUAUGUACAUAUCAAGAAACCUGCUGACCAUAUGUUCUUUAUACAUCCCUUUUUCAUACAUUUCCUGAAAUAUUCUACUAAAUGUUGUCUAACUCAAUAAUAGAAUUAUAUUCUAUACCUAGUCAUAUUUAUAUUCUCUUUGUUUUAUCAUUUCAGGUCAAGCACUAUCACAUUUGAUAAUUGGGCAUAUGGAAGAAAUCAUUCUGAUCAAGAGUUGGAAAUUUUUUUGUAUGAUGUUUACUGUAGUAUUAUAGCUAUUUUGUAACAAUAGUUAUUAGAUGCAAAAUUAUACUAGCUAUUGGAUUCAAAUAGUUUACUUUUUUCGUAAAAAUUGCACGAGGCGCCCUAUUUGGUCGCCUCCAUUUAACCUAUUCCCAUUUUUUAAAAUUUUUUAAAUUGUACCCACUUUUUAAACAAUUUCAUCCCCCUCUCCUCCUUCUCCUCCUUCGUUUUCUUCUUCUUCUUUCUUCUGUUGUUGUUGGUGCUGCUAUGAAACUUCAGUUUAUAGGAUGAUUGUCAUAAAUAUGUUUAUCAGAUUAUUUA